This 496-nucleotide ribosomal RNA is filed under the name uncultured bacterium. RNAcentral describes it as "partial 16S ribosomal RNA". It matches the Rfam family "Bacterial small subunit ribosomal RNA", at positions 899 to 1397 of the family's 1533-position model. The record is from RNAcentral.
ACUCAAAUGAAUUGACGGGGGCCCGCACAAGCGGUGGAGCAUGUGGUUCAAUUCGACGCAACGCGAAGAACCUUACCUGGGCUCGAAAUGCAGUGCACCGGGGUAGAAAUAUCCCUUCCCGCAAGGGGUGCUGCAUAGGUGCUGCAUGGCUGUCGUCAGCUCGUGUCGUGAGAUGUUGGGUUAAGUCCCGCAACGAGCGCAACCCUUAUUGUCAGUUGCCAUCAUUCAGUUGGGCACUCUGGCGAAACUGCCCCGGAUAACGGGGAGGAAGGUGGGGAUGACGUCAAGUCCUCAUGGCCUUUAUGUCCAGGGCUACACACGUGCUACAAUGGCCGGUACAAACCGUCGCAAACCCGCGAGGGGGAGCUAAUCGGAAAAAGCCGGUCUCAGUCCGGAUUGAAGUCUGCAACUCGACUUCAUGAAGCUGGAAUCGCUAGUAAUCGCGGAUCAGAACGCCGCGGUGAAUACGUUCCCGGGCCUUGUACACACCGCCCGU